AGCCAUGCCGCGUGUAUGAAGAAGGUCCUUCGGGUUGUAAAGUACUUUCAGCAGUGAGGAAGGUGGGUAUGUUAAUAGCAUACUCAUUUGACGUUAGCUGCAGAAGAAGCACCGGCUAACUCCGUGCCAGCAGCCGCGGUAAUACGGAGGGUGCGAGCGUUAAUCGGAAUUACUGGGCGUAAAGCGCAUGCAGGUGGUUUGUUAAGUCAGAUGUGAAAGCCCGGGGCUCAACCUCGGAAUUGCAUUUGAAACUGGCAAACUAGAGUACUGUAGAGGGGGUAGAAUUUCAGGUGUAGCGGUGAAAUGCGUAGAGAUCUGAAGGAAUACCGGUGGCGAAGGCGGCCCCCUGGACAGAUACUGACACUCAGAUGCGAAAGCGUGGGGAGCAAACAGGAUUAGAUACCCUGGCAA
This 411-nucleotide ribosomal RNA is filed under the name uncultured bacterium. RNAcentral's name for it is "bacterial SSU rRNA". It matches the Rfam family "Bacterial small subunit ribosomal RNA", at positions 390 to 793 of the family's 1533-position model. The record is from RNAcentral.